Molecule: ribosomal RNA, 119 nt
Filed under: Pteropus alecto (black flying fox)
Lineage: Eukaryota; Metazoa; Chordata; Mammalia; Chiroptera; Pteropodidae
Source: RNAcentral
GACUACGGCCAUGCCACCCUGAACAAGCCCGAUCUCGUCUGAUCUUGGAAGCUAAGCAGGGUCCGGCCUGGUUAGUACCUGGAUGGUAGACCACCUAGGAAUACCAGGUGCUGUAGGCA